CCCUUAGAUGUUCUGGGCUGCACGCGCGCUACACUGAUGCAUGCAACGAGUUUUCGACCUUGCCUGAAAAGGUUGGGUAAUCUGUUUAACAUGUGUCGUGAUGGGGAUAGACCAUUGCAAUUAUUGAUCUUCAACGAGGAAUUCCUAGUAAGCGCGAGUCAUCAGCUCGUGCUGAUUAUGUCCCUGCCCUUUGUACACACCGCCCGUCACUCCUACCGAUUGAGUGAUCCGGUGAAUGAUUCGGACCAGCGUGCUGCUCAGAUCCUGCGCAGUGUGCUGGGAAGUCUAGUGAACCUUAUCACUUAGAGGAAGGAGAAGUCGUAACA
RNAcentral lists this ribosomal RNA (326 nucleotides) under uncultured eukaryote. RNAcentral's name for it is "partial 18S ribosomal RNA". It matches the Rfam family "Eukaryotic small subunit ribosomal RNA", at positions 1470 to 1796 of the family's 1831-position model. The record is from RNAcentral.